This 253-nucleotide ribosomal RNA is filed under the name uncultured prokaryote. RNAcentral describes it as "partial 16S ribosomal RNA". It matches the Rfam family "Bacterial small subunit ribosomal RNA", at positions 525 to 777 of the family's 1533-position model. The record is from RNAcentral.
ACGUAGGGCGCGAGCGUUGUCCGGAAUUAUUGGGCGUAAAGAGCUCGUAGGCGGCCUGUUGCGUCCGCUGUGAAAGCCCGGGGCUUAACCUGGGAACUGCGUUUGAAACUACAAGGCUAGAGUGUGGCAGAGGGGGGUGGAAUUCCACGUGUAGCAGUGAAAUGCGUAGAGAUGUGGAGGAACACCGAUGGCGAAGGCAGCCCCCUGGGUUAACACUGACGCUCAGGCACGAAAGCGUGGGGAGCAAACAGGA